AGGAUCAUUACCGAGUGCGGGCCCUCGUGGCCCAACCUCCCCCCCUUGUCUCUAUACACCUGUUGCUUUGGCGGGCCCACCGGGGCCACCUGGUCGCCGGGGGACAUCUGUCCCCGGGCCCGCGCCCGCCGAAGCGCUCUGUGAACCCUGAUGAAGAUGGGCUGUCUGAGUACUAUGAAAAUUGUCAAAACUUUCAACAAUGGAUCUCUUGGUUCCGGCAUCGAUGAAGAACGCAGCGAAAUGCGAUAAGUAAUGUGAAUUGCAGAAUUCCGUGAAUCAUCGAAUCUUUGAACGCACAUUGCGCCCCCUGGCAUUCCGGGGGGCAUGCCUGUCCGAGCGUCAUUUCUGCCCUCAAGCACGGCUUGUGUGUUGGGUGCGGUCCCCCCGGGGACCUGCCCGAAAGGCAGCGGCGACGUCCGUCUGGUCCUCGAGCGUAUGGGGCUUUGUCACUCGCUCGGGAAGGACUGGCGGGGGUUGGUCACCACCAAAAUUUUACCACGGUUGACCUCGGAUCAGGUAGGA
RNAcentral lists this ribosomal RNA (522 nucleotides) under Talaromyces purpureogenus. RNAcentral describes it as "eukaryotic LSU rRNA". The stretch from base 189 to 342 matches the Rfam family "5.8S ribosomal RNA". The record is from RNAcentral. Lineage: Eukaryota; Fungi; Ascomycota; Eurotiomycetes; Eurotiales; Trichocomaceae.